CAGUGCGUUGCCUUUCUCUUCAUUCAGUACUCUCAUUCCUAAUCCUAUGUUUUCUCAUAGGUCCCAAGGACCAGCCGGACCUUUCCUUUGAACCCUAGGCACUGGCAUGCAUUUGCUUUCUCUUCGCCUCCCCUCAGGGGUCUCAAGGCAUCUUUAAGAAGGAGACUAAGUUUUCCCCUGGUGAUAAGAGGAAUUCAAAGGCUGCAUUAGGACCUCAUGAGAAAAACUGCCGUUGAAGAUGUGAGGAUAAAUGUCGUGCGUGAGAGCUUCAGGGUUGGUGUCCUGGGACGAAUCACCGGCCUUGGCCAUCUCUAGAAACUCUGCAUCCUGCCAUCAGUUCUCUCGGGAGGCAGCAGUAGUCUGAAAGUAUCUUUCACAGUGGAAGCUAAUGCGAAUUUUGGUGAUCUCCAGCUCCUAACUGGCUUCAAUCGUGAGGAAAUGUCGUUCAGAUUUGGCCAGCAUCUCAUCAAGCCCUCUGUGGUGUUUCUCAAAACAGAACUGUCCUUCGCUCUUGUGAACAGGAAACCUGUGGUACCAGGACGUAUCCUUUUCUUUUAAGAGAGGCAAAAUGAAGUCUUCGAAUGUAAUCAACCCAAAGAAUUGGAGGAUUGGCCCCUGAUGUUUGUCCUAAAAAGUAAAUAAGGAACCCAGCUCCCUCUUCCUUUGGACAGCCCAGGUAAGCUGUUACUCACAUUUAUUUUGAAUCCAGUUGGUGGCACCAGUAAUAUGCUUGAUCAGUGUUGCAGAACUUCUGAAAAGAGUUGCUUAGCAACCGUGGCUUUGGAGGUGAAUUUUUGCUUGACCUUUUCACUCCCAUAGCUGUGUAAAUAAAUAGGUGUUUCUAAAAUUGGCC
This 853-nucleotide long non-coding RNA is filed under the name Fukomys damarensis (Damara mole-rat). RNAcentral's name for it is "lncRNA (ENSFDAG00000033321.1)". Lineage: Eukaryota; Metazoa; Chordata; Mammalia; Rodentia; Bathyergidae. The record is from RNAcentral.